This 238-nucleotide ribosomal RNA is filed under the name uncultured Anaplasma sp. RNAcentral describes it as "partial 16S ribosomal RNA". It matches the Rfam family "Bacterial small subunit ribosomal RNA", at positions 524 to 761 of the family's 1533-position model. The record is from RNAcentral. Lineage: Bacteria; Pseudomonadati; Pseudomonadota; Alphaproteobacteria; Rickettsiales; Anaplasmataceae.
UACGGAGGGGGCAAGCGUUGUUCGGAAUUAUUGGGCGUAAAGGGCAUGUAGGCGGUUUGGUAAGUUAAAGGUGAAAUACCAGGGCUUAACCCUGGGGCUGCUUUUAAUACUGCAGGACUAGAGUCCGGAAGAGGAUAGCGGAAUUCCUAGUGUAGAGGUGAAAUUCGUAGAUAUUAGGAGGAACACCAGUGGCGAAGGCGGCUGUCUGGUCCGGUACUGACGCUGAGGUGCGAAAGCG